CACUAACGUAUUUUGUAGUAUUAUCUUAGUUUAUUAACUAAAAUGGUUUGGCAGUGAGUGAUUCUUUUUAGGGGAAGGUGUGGUGUAAAGGAUGUUCCGCCUAUUAAUUUACUUUUAUUAUGUUGGUGUAUAUCUGGUUUAAUAUUAUUGUUGAAUAAUAUAAGUUUGUGUAAUUUUAUUAGUUAAGCCAAGUCUAUGUGCUGCUUAUAGAAGUAUUCAUGCGUUACUUUAAUAAAGUUUUAGUUGUAAGUACUAUCAUAUUCAGGACUUAAAAGUAAUGUUAAAUUAGUUUGUUAAUGUGAAAUAAGUUUAGCUCA
RNAcentral lists this ribosomal RNA (317 nucleotides) under Taenia multiceps. Its description in RNAcentral is "partial 12S ribosomal RNA". Lineage: Eukaryota; Metazoa; Platyhelminthes; Cestoda; Cyclophyllidea; Taeniidae. The record is from RNAcentral.